GAUUUUAGAGUUUAAUUGGGAGUACAAGUUGGUAAAACAUUCGGUAUUCCAGUUACAGUUACGGAAAAAAGUUGUUUGUACUAUCAACGCUUAAUUACCUUAAAGUGUUGGGAACGCCCUCCUGCAGCAGCUACAGGGAUAAAGAUACAGAGAGUGAGAGGUCUGCAAAGUUAUGCAUAAUGUGGACACAGCACAGCGAGGAGAUGCCAAAGGACGAAGGACCAAAACCAGAAGCAGGACCAACAGAAGCUUAGGAAUUAUGUCUUAUUAUUUUGCCUGCAGCCUGUGGACGAGGCGAAGAACAAUGGCAAAUCACACAGCCAGGACCAAAAGCAGGACUCUAGGACUCUAAAGCCGGCAAUCGGGUUGUUGUCCUGGCACUGCACCAAAGUCGCAAUCUCAACGCCUCCAUUCUGUCUCUCUGCCUGACUUGUCUUUAAUGUCUUUAUGCUUCGGCCAAAUGUUGGCUGCUCCAUAGAAUCGCCACACAGAGAAAAACAUUGGAGCAGUACGUACUAGGUAAAAAGAUAAUCGUCUUAUUUCGGAUUAAGAUAUUUUUAAAUGUUCUAUAUGUAAUGAUAUAAAAUUCAAAGAUUUUGUAAUAAUUUAACUCGCACAUGAGUCGAA
Drosophila teissieri is the source of this 627-nucleotide long non-coding RNA. RefSeq lists it as uncharacterized. The transcript has 2 exons. Lineage: Eukaryota; Metazoa; Arthropoda; Insecta; Diptera; Drosophilidae. The record is from RefSeq and is a predicted model, not a curated record.